RNAcentral lists this long non-coding RNA (333 nucleotides) under Setaria italica (foxtail millet). Its description in RNAcentral is "long non-coding RNA (SITA_LNC001593)". Lineage: Eukaryota; Viridiplantae; Streptophyta; Magnoliopsida; Poales; Poaceae. The record is from RNAcentral.
GAGGCUGUUUGGAUACGAGGUGCUAAACUUUAACAGUGUCACAUCGGAUGUUCGGAUGCUAAUUAGAAGGACUAAACAUAAGCUAAUUAUAAAACUAAUUGCAGAACCUUGUGCUAAUUCGCGAGAUGAAUCUAUUAAGCCUAAUUAAUCCAUCAUUAGCAAAUGGUUACUGUAGCACCACAUUGUCAAAUCAUGGACUAAUUAGGCUUAAUAGAUUCGUCUCGCGAAUUAUACUCCAUCUGUGCAAUUAGUUUUAUAAUUAGCUUAUAUUUAGUACUCCUAAUUAGCAUCCAAACAUCCGAUGUGAUAGGUGUUAAACUUUAACAGGGGUGU